This 321-nucleotide ribosomal RNA is filed under the name Mactra antiquata. Its description in RNAcentral is "partial 16S ribosomal RNA". It matches the Rfam family "Archaeal large subunit ribosomal RNA", at positions 2030 to 2595 of the family's 2987-position model. The record is from RNAcentral. Lineage: Eukaryota; Metazoa; Mollusca; Bivalvia; Venerida; Mactridae.
AAGGUAGCGCAGUCAAUUGUCCUUUAAUUGGGGAAAGGAAUGAAAGGGUUGACGAGGGGUGAGCUGUCUUUAUAGUAUAGUUUGAAGUUUUCUUUUACGUGAAAAGACUUAAAUUUAAAAAUAAGAAGAGAAGACCCCGGCGAGCUUGGUAAGGGUUAUUAAACUAAAAUAAUUAUUGAGGUUUGUUGGGGCAACGCAAAGGGAAAAUAACUCCUUUGAACGUAAUAAAGAUCCACUUAGAGUGAACAAAGCAAAAGCUACCGCGGGGAUAACAGCGCAAUUUUUUCAGAGAGUUCAUAUCGAAGAGAAUGUUUGCGACCU